Molecule: small nuclear RNA, 299 nt
Filed under: Notechis scutatus (mainland tiger snake)
Lineage: Eukaryota; Metazoa; Chordata; Lepidosauria; Squamata; Elapidae
Description: 7SK RNA (ENSNSUG00000014835.1)
Rfam family: 7SK RNA
About the family: 7SK was discovered as an abundant small nuclear RNA in the mid-70s but a possible function has only recently been suggested. Two independent studies have found that 7SK RNA binds the CDK9/cyclin T complex (known as elongation factor P-TEFb). P-TEFb activates transcription by phosphorylating the C-terminal domain of RNA polymerase II.
Source: RNAcentral
GGAUGUGAGGGUGAUCUGGCUGCGACAUCUGUCACCCCAUUGAUCGCCAGGGUUGAUUCGGCUGAUCUGGCUGGCUAGGCGGGUGUCCCCUUCUUCCCUCACCACUCCAUGUGCGUCCCUCCCGAAGCUGCACGCUCGGUGGAAGAGGACGACCAUCCCAGAUAGAAAGAGUGUAUGGUUCUUCGGUCAAGGAUAUACGAUAGCUGCGCUCCCCUGCUAAACCCUCCAAACAAGCUCAAAAUGCAUUAGUAUAGGGGUGUCAAACCCACGUCGUCACAAUAGUAUCACAUGACGUAUUG